AACCCCUGUCUCGAUCGGGAUCACCACCUUAUCGUGGUGAGGCAGUUUGUGUGUCCCAAUGACCCCUAGAGCUAUGCCGGCGGGAGUCAUGUACUCUUGUUAGGGUCACCCAUGCCGGACAGGUCGAAGGGUAGGGGCCAGACGAAGAGUGAUCCCACAAGGCCCUAUCAGUGCUAACUGAAGUUGCCCUACCAGGCUGGGAAUCAUCGUCAGACAGUGCAAAAAAUUGCCAAUUAACCUGACAGAGUCUAACCUUGUUGCCAUUUAUCAGUUAGCUGUUCUCUUGCUGAAGGUUGUGGGUAAGGAUAUUAGAUGAUGGCUUUCUGCAGAUUUUAUGGGAGUGCGCUGAUGACGUAAAUGACAGUCACUGUGAAGGUCAAAUGCGAAGAACGUGACAUCAAGCAACGCCACAUAGACAAGAUCAACACUUUGACCAAGCAGCUACACCCAGCCACUUGAAGAAGACUCUGCAAAUGACAUCAACUAUAUUGUCAAAACUCUCAGUCAACGAUGGCAAGACACAAGUGAUAAACUGGACCAGUGUAGAGACCUUGAAAAACCUUUAUUCCCAUGAGGAUUGUUGGUUGGUGGCGUACAUCAAAAAUAGUUUGACUGCAAACAAAAGACCCCAAGAAGUGCACUUCAAAUAACCUUCUUUUUAAACUAAUUUACUGGUCAAACAUGUAAAGCACUAAAGCAAGGCGCCAAGGUAUUUUCAAAGUGUUAUUCAAAUUUGAACCUUACAGCCUUGACUAAGUGCUUUGUAUUUGAACAGUGAACCAAUGUAUGGAAAAUGGCGAAUAGUCUUCUUCCCAUCGUCCCGUCCCCAAACAACAUACCCAAACAACAGAACCCAAGACUUCUGGGUUUCCUUACUUCCAUUGAUCAAAUUUCCAAAGGUGGAUGUAUAAGAGACGCCUUAGGUUAUGUCGAACUUGUUAUGAUGAAAAUAAAAUGUAUGUGAAAAAUUUU
Long non-coding RNA from Actinia tenebrosa (Australian red waratah sea anemone), 972 nucleotides. RefSeq lists it as uncharacterized. NCBI's taxonomy places the organism in Eukaryota, Metazoa, Cnidaria, Anthozoa, Actiniaria, Actiniidae. The record is from RefSeq and is a predicted model, not a curated record.